AUUGAACGCUGGCGGCAGGCCUAACACAUGCAAGUCGAGCGGAUGAAGGUAGCUUGCUCCUGUAUUCAGCUUCGGACUGGUGAGUAAUGCCUAUGAAUCUGCCUGGUAGUGGUUUAUAACGUCCUGUAACGGGCGCUAAUACCGCAUACUUCCUUAGUGAUAAAUUUGUGGUUCUUCUGACCUCACGCUAUCAUAUGUUCCUAGGUCGGAUUAGCUAGUUGGUGGGGUAAAGGCCUACCAAGGCGACGAUCCGUAACUGGUCUGAGAGGAUGAUCAGUCAAACUGGAACUGAGAAACGGAAAAGAAGAAGACGGGAGGAAGCAGAGGGGAAUAUUGGACAAUGGGCGAAAGCAUGAUAAAGCAAAGCAGAGUGUGUGAAGAAGGUCUUAGGAUUGUAAAGAAAGUUAAGUUGGGAGGAAGGGAAGUAAGUUAAUAAAUUGAUGUAUUGACGUUAACAAAAGAAUAAGCAACGGCUAACUACGUG
This 484-nucleotide ribosomal RNA is filed under the name uncultured bacterium. RNAcentral describes it as "partial 16S ribosomal RNA". It matches the Rfam family "Bacterial small subunit ribosomal RNA", at positions 30 to 507 of the family's 1533-position model. The record is from RNAcentral.